UGACUAAGCCAUGCAAGUCGAGAGGGUUCGGCCCUCGGCGUACUGCUCAGUAACACGUGGAUAACCUGCCCUAAGGAAGGGGAUAACCUCGGGAAACUGAGGAUAAUACCCUAUAGGAUACCGAUGCUGGAAUGCCCGGUAUCCCAAAGCUCCGGCGCCUUAGGAUGGAUCUGCGGCCGAUUAGGUCGUUGUUGGGGUAACGGCCCAACAAGCCGAUAAUCGGUACGGGUUGUGGGAGCAAGAGCCCGGAGUUGGAUUCUGAGACACGAAUCCAGGCCCUACGGGGCGCAGCAGGCGCGAAAACUUUACAAUGCGGGCAACCGUGAUAAGGGAACCUCGAGUGCCUGUACAUGCAGGCUGUCUGGGUGUCUAAAACACACCCAAAGAAAGGGCCGGGCAAGACCGGUGCCAGCCGCCGCGGUAAUACCGGCGGCUCGAGUGGUGGCCACUUUUAUUGGGCUUAAAGCGUUCGUAGCUGGGUUGUUAAGUCUCUUGGGAAAUCUGGCAGCUUAACUGUCAGGCGUCUAAGAGAUACUGGCAAUCUAGGAACCGGGAGAGGUGAGGGGUACUUCGGGGGUAGGAGUGAAAUCCUGUAAUCCUCGAGGGACCACCUGUGGCGAAGGCGCCUCACCAGAACGGCUUCGACAGUGAGGGACGAAAGCUGGGGGAGCAAACCGGAUUAGAUACCCGGGUAGUCCCAGCCGUAAACGAUGCGCGUUAGGUGUGUCGAUGACCACGAGUCAUCGAGGUGCCGAAGGGAAACCGUGAAACGCGCCGCCUGGGAAGUACGGUCGCAAGGCUGAAACUUAAAGGAAUUGGCGGGGGAGCA
This 829-nucleotide ribosomal RNA is filed under the name uncultured archaeon. Its description in RNAcentral is "bacterial SSU rRNA". It matches the Rfam family "Archaeal small subunit ribosomal RNA", at positions 41 to 878 of the family's 1478-position model. The record is from RNAcentral.